AUGGGACACAGAGCACUGGAGCU
Molecule: non-coding RNA, 23 nt
Filed under: Cricetulus griseus (Chinese hamster)
Lineage: Eukaryota; Metazoa; Chordata; Mammalia; Rodentia; Cricetidae
Source: RNAcentral